GAGAGAGGCUCGCCCGCAACUGGGGUUGCUAACCUUCGUGUCCCGGGUUGGAGUCCCGGGCUCUUCUCG
This 69-nucleotide transfer RNA is filed under the name Halichoeres trimaculatus (threespot wrasse). RNAcentral's name for it is "tRNA-Ser". The record is from RNAcentral. Lineage: Eukaryota; Metazoa; Chordata; Actinopteri; Labriformes; Labridae.